UAGGGAAUCUUCCACAAUGGACGCAAGUCUGAUGGAGCAACGCCGCGUGAGUGAAGAAGGUUUUCGGACCGUAAAGCUCUGUUGUUGGUGAAGAAGGAUAGAGGUAGUAACUGGCCUUUUAUUUGACGGUAAUCAACCAGAAAGUCACGGCUAACUACGUGCCAGCAGCCGCGGUAAUACGUAGGUGGCAAGCGUUGUCCGGAUUUAUUGGGCGUAAAGCGAGCGCAGGCGGAAGAAUAAGUCUGAUGUGAAAGCCCUCGGCUUAACCGAGGAAUUGCAUCGGAAACUGUUUUUCUUGAGUGCAGAAGAGGAGAGUAGAACUCCAUGUGUAGCGGUGGAAUGCGUAGAUAUAUGGAAGAAUACCAGUGGCGAAGGCGGCUCUCUGGUCUGCAACUGACGCUGAGGCUCGAAAGCAUGGGUAGCGAACAGGAUUAGAUACCCUUGGUAGUCCAUGCC
Molecule: ribosomal RNA, 456 nt
Filed under: uncultured bacterium
Lineage: Bacteria
Description: partial 16S ribosomal RNA
Rfam family: Bacterial small subunit ribosomal RNA
Source: RNAcentral